GUAGGUGGCAAGCGUUGUCCGGAAUUAUUGGGCGUAAAGCGCGCGCAGGUGGUUCGUUUAAGUCUGAUGUGAAAGACCCCCGGGCUCAACCGGGGAGGGUCAUUGGAAACUGGGGAACUUGAGUGCAGGAGAGGAAAGUGGAAUUCCACGUGUAGCGGUGAAAUGCGUAGAUAUGUGGAGGAACACCAGUGGCGAAGGCGACUUUCUGGCCUGUAACUGACACUGAGGCGCGAAAGCGUGGGGAGCAAACAGGAUUAGAUACCCUGGUAGUCCACGCCGUAAACGAUGAGUGCUAAGUGUUCGGGGGGGUUUCCGCCCCUCAGUGCUGCAGCUAACGCAUUAAGCACUCCGCCUGGGGAGUACGGUCGCAAAGACUG
This 377-nucleotide ribosomal RNA is filed under the name uncultured organism. RNAcentral's name for it is "partial 16S ribosomal RNA". It matches the Rfam family "Bacterial small subunit ribosomal RNA", at positions 527 to 896 of the family's 1533-position model. The record is from RNAcentral.